CCGUUCUCAAACUGGCCAAGACGCGUUGGUUCCCGAAAGCCGAUUAGCUAUCACGAUGAGCACGGGAAAUAACUGAAAUGAUAGCGUGGAGAACAGCGAUUUGCACUCAACUAGAGUAUUGUGUCGGAAAGCGUGCUUGACUUCUACGGGGUUCCCAGUUUUAAUACCGGUGUGGACAAAACAAUAUUUCUUGCCAUUUCAGUAAAGAAUGUUGCCUGCCAUCAAGCCACCAGCUACACCAGCCACUGCAACCACUCUCCAUGGUAUGCCCUGAGGGGAUUCCAGGAUGGAGAAAAAGAGGAUACUGGCCCUAGAUAGUUAUGAUGCAGACCAGAGGAAUAAUUUCUCUGAGCCCAGACUCUCGCAUCUUCCCACGCAUAGAAAAGCAUUAAAAUCAUCAACUUGAGAUGUCUGGUUUUUGUGAUUAGCAGUAAUCUUUGAUGUGCAACUCCAUGUUUUUUUGUUUUUGAUUUUCCAGGAAAAACUGUUUAUCCUGGCUCCUCCCUUACCUGCUUGGAACAAUUCCUCAGAGCUUUCUGAAAGGCUGUCUUCUGCGAUAUAGUUCUCAGUAAGGUCACCAAAUAAAAUAUAACUCUCAA
Non-coding RNA from Vicugna pacos (alpaca), 599 nucleotides. The record is from RefSeq and is a predicted model, not a curated record. Lineage: Eukaryota; Metazoa; Chordata; Mammalia; Artiodactyla; Camelidae.